UAUUUUUGCCCUGAGCACCAUGACCAGCUCCAUACAGGUACUUUAUUUUUGCCCUGAGCACCAUGACCAGCUCCAUACAGGUACUUUAUUUUUGCCCUGAGCACCAUGACCAGCUCCAUACAGGUACUUUAUUUUUGCCCUGAGCACCAUGACCAGCUCCAUACAGGUACUUUAUUUUUGCCCUGAGCACCAUGACCAGCUCCAUACAGGUACUUUAUUUUUGCCCUGAGCACCAUGACCAGCUCCAUACAGGUACUUUGUGUGGGCCUGUCUUUUCUCUUGCCGGCAUCUGUGUGUCUUUUUGAGGUGGUUGUAUUUCCCCUUUGCGUGGCUCAUGUGCUGUGCGAGUCCGUGAAUUUGUAUUUGGUAAAAGUCUUUGUAUGCGUUUGGGUAUGCGUGCCUGGGGAUGGAAAUAAUGGUGUCACUUGGAAGCCCACAAGUCAAAUUGAGAUGCAAACGAUGUAAUUACAACAUUUGCACUGCCUGAAUUACAUUUUAAAAUUGUAAUUGUAAAUUGAUUUUACACUUCUGUUGGCGACAAUAAGUUCAGUUGAAAAUAACAAACAAGGAAAUUGCAAUUAAGUGUGAAUUUGAAGUCAUGAUCCUGCUUUAUAGAACCGUAUAAUGUGGAUACACUUUUUUAAUGUCUUGUCUAAUAAAAAAAAAA
Anguilla anguilla (European eel) is the source of this 667-nucleotide long non-coding RNA. RefSeq lists it as uncharacterized. NCBI's taxonomy places the organism in Eukaryota, Metazoa, Chordata, Actinopteri, Anguilliformes, Anguillidae. The transcript has 2 exons. The record is from RefSeq and is a predicted model, not a curated record.